Molecule: non-coding RNA, 643 nt
Organism: Arachis ipaensis
Lineage: Eukaryota; Viridiplantae; Streptophyta; Magnoliopsida; Fabales; Fabaceae
Source: RefSeq, a predicted model, not a curated record
AGAAAUUAGAUAAAUUGUGAUUAGUGAGAGUAACAGAAAAGAGAGAAAGCAGAACAGCCAAAACAGGUCCAAUCAAUGGAGUAUUGGAGUGGGUAGAUCUAUCACUUUCAUCCCACUUCUCUUCUUCUUUCCAAUUCAAACCUUCUCCUGUAGUCUUGGACCAUCAACCCGCCUCACGAGAUUAUGGUGGAAAUAUGUAGAGACGCAGAAAGACGCCGAAGAGCAACCAUUGAACGACAUCAUGAGAACUAGCAAUAUAUUCUUCAGGAGGGAUCAGGAGUGCACGAGAAAACAGGGAACACAAUCUAACAAAAUUGUUCAGGUGAAUGAUGAAGUCCUAAAUGAAGCUAAAAGAAUUUGGAUGAAGAGAAGCUUAUUGGUAAAGAUAUCGCUAUUGUAAAUAAAGAGAGUCUUGCUGAUGAAGCUAACAAAAAAGAAGCUAAGGGAUAAGAUACUUUGCUAAUUUACUGAAUUUUCUAGAUUGAUGAUAAUAUGUUUAUGCAUUAUCUAAAUUUUUUGAAUGAACAUCCUGAUUUCCUACUCAAUUCUUUAAUUAUUUUUUAUUAUUUUGGUUUGUUAAUAUUUUGUUGCUUAUUAUGAAUUUAGUAUUAAAAAAACAAAUUCUGUGAUUUUUCUAAAGGUA